UUUCCCGUAGUAGCCUAGGAGUGAUCCUCGGAGUCUUUCCUCAUUAUCCUUCGAGCAUCCUUGAAGUCAUCCUUGUGCUUCUUCUUUAGUUCCCUUUAUCCUUUGCGAUCUUUGGAGUUAUCCUUGUUCUCCUCGGGCUCCUUCUCUCCGUGUCCUUUGGGAAUCCUUGGUGCUAUCCUUGGGCUCUUCCCUUCGUAUCCCUGAGCAUCCUUGGAAUUCUCCUCGGGCUCUUUUCCUCGUAUCCUUUGGGCAUCCUUGGAGCUAUCCUUGGACCCUUUUCCUCGUAUCCCUGAGCUAAUAGAAUCAACGUGUUCAGGUCCGGCACUUUGUACGCCCUAAGGAAGAUCCUUAAGCUUGGGGUGCAGUUUUCCUUGAUGAUCUUUAAGGUGUCUCUCGCAGAGUAGUUUAGUGGCCUCGACAUCGUCUGCAUGUCGAUCAUGUAGUCUUUAACUGACUCAAUGAAACCAUGUUUUCGUUGCCUGCCUGAUCCGACAGCCUUGUGAAGAAAUCUCUCGGCAGAAAGUAAAGAUGGAAGCUCUUAAUGAACUGU
Long non-coding RNA from Drosophila biarmipes, 550 nucleotides. RefSeq lists it as uncharacterized. The record is from RefSeq and is a predicted model, not a curated record. Lineage: Eukaryota; Metazoa; Arthropoda; Insecta; Diptera; Drosophilidae. The transcript has 3 exons.